UACGGGGGGGCAAGCGUUGUUCGGAAUUACUGGGCGUAAAGGGCUCGUAGGUGGCCAACUAAGUCAGACGUGAAAUCCCUCAGCUUAACUGGGGAACUGCGUCUGAUACUGGAUGGCUUGAGUUCGGGAGAGGGAUGCGGAAUUCCAGGUGUAGCGGUGAAAUGCGUAGAUAUCAGGAGGAACACCGGUGGCGAAGGCGGUGAUCUGGGCCGGUACUGACGCUGAGGAGCGAAAGCGUGGGGAGCGAACAGG
Molecule: ribosomal RNA, 252 nt
Filed under: uncultured bacterium
Lineage: Bacteria
Description: partial 16S ribosomal RNA
Rfam family: Bacterial small subunit ribosomal RNA
Source: RNAcentral